UGGGGAAUAUUGGACAAUGGGGCAAGGCCUGAUCCAGCCAUGCCGCGUGAGUGAUGAAGGCCCUAGGGUUGUAAAGCUCUUUUGUGCGGGAAGAUAAUGACGGUACCGCAAGAAUAAGCCCCGGCUAACUUCGUGCCAGCAGCCGCGGUAAUACGGAGGGUGCGAGCGUUGUCCGGAAUCACUGGGCGUAAAGGGCGCGUAGGCGGCUCAUUAAGUGGCUGGUGAAAUCCCCGGGGCUCAAACUCCGGGGCUGCCGGUCAGACUGGUGGGCUCGAGCACGGUAGAGGCGGAUGGAAUUCCCGGUGUAGCGGUGAAAUGCGUAGAGAUCGGGAGGAAGGCCGGUGGCGAAGGCGCGCUCUUGGAACGUAUCUGACGCUGAGACACGAAAGCGUGGGUAGCAAACA
This 404-nucleotide ribosomal RNA is filed under the name uncultured Pseudomonadota bacterium. Its description in RNAcentral is "bacterial SSU rRNA". It matches the Rfam family "Bacterial small subunit ribosomal RNA", at positions 355 to 774 of the family's 1533-position model. The record is from RNAcentral. Lineage: Bacteria; Pseudomonadati; Pseudomonadota.